RNAcentral lists this unclassified non-coding RNA (360 nucleotides) under Hevea brasiliensis (rubber tree). Lineage: Eukaryota; Viridiplantae; Streptophyta; Magnoliopsida; Malpighiales; Euphorbiaceae. The record is from RNAcentral.
GGAAGUUAGUUCCGUCUUCUCCCUUGGAUUCAAUCCUUCUCCAACCCUUAUACAGGCUAACAGCUUCGUAAGAUGAUACACCAAGGGCAACCGGGAUCUGCAACAGAUUCACCACCCAAUAUAGUGGUGUACAAUUGUCUGUAUAAUUCUUGCCGAUUUGCAGUCCUAGAAAUGCAACCCAAACAAAAGACAGGAGUCCAGUUUCCUUCCAGCAAACAUUCUCCAUGAUAGGCACCUCAGGUUCGGAAACUUCUGUUUUUUUCUUUUCAGCAUCGUUGGCAUCACCAGGAAGGAGCUUAUACUCUGCGUCAUUUGCGCCUGACUUUUUCGCAGCCUCAGUCUCCUUUUUCAGGAUAGUCU